RNAcentral lists this ribosomal RNA (355 nucleotides) under uncultured bacterium. RNAcentral's name for it is "bacterial SSU rRNA". It matches the Rfam family "Bacterial small subunit ribosomal RNA", at positions 29 to 412 of the family's 1533-position model. The record is from RNAcentral.
AACGAACGCUGGCGGCAGGCCUAACACAUGCAAGUCGAGCGGGACCUUCGGGUCUAGCGGCGGACGGGUUAGUAACGCGUGGGAACGUGCCCAAAGGUACGGAAUAGCCUCGGGAAACUGAGAGUAAUACCGUAUGUGCCCCUCGGGGGAAAGAUUAUCGCCUUUGGAUCGGCCCGCGUUGGAUUAGGUAGUUGGUGGGGUAAUGGCCUACCAAGCCGACGAUCCAUAGCUGGUUUGAGAGGAUGAUCAGCAACGCUGGGACUGAGACACGGCCCAGACUCCUACGGGAGGCAGCAGUGGGGAAUAUUGGACAAUGGGCGCAAGCCUGAUCCAGCCAUGCCGCGUGAGUGAUGAA